Molecule: ribosomal RNA, 492 nt
Filed under: uncultured bacterium
Lineage: Bacteria
Description: partial 16S ribosomal RNA
Rfam family: Bacterial small subunit ribosomal RNA
Source: RNAcentral
AGUGAACGCUGGCGGUAGGCCUAACACAUGCAAGUCGAACGGCAGCACAGUAAGAGCUUGCUCUUACGGGUGGCGAGUGGCGGACGGGUGAGGAAUACAUCGGAAUCUACUUUUUCGUGGGGGAUAACGUAGGGAAACUUACGCUAAUACCGCAUACGACCUACGGGUGAAAGCAGGGGAUCUUCGGACCUUGCGCGAUUGAAUGAGCCGAUGUCGGAUUAGCUAGUUGGCGGGGUAAAGGCCCACCAAGGCGACGAUCCGUAGCUGGUCUGAGAGGAUGAAGGACGACAGUGAGGAUGGGAGGGCAUACAGAGGCCGAGGGAAGGCCGCGAUGGGGAAGGGUGGAAAAAGUGGGGAAGAGUUAACCAGGCGUACAAGGGGGAUGAAGAGAGCCUGCGGGUGGGAAAACGUGCUUGUGGUGAAAAAAAAGUAUCGGUAGGGAAGAAGGUUGUUGUGAAGGUACCUAAAGAAGAAGCACGGGCUAACUUCGUG